GACGAACGCUGGCGGCGUGCUUAACACAUGCAAGUCGAACGGAAAGGCCCCUUUGGGGGUACUCGAGUGGCGAACGGGUGAGUAACACGUGAGUAACCUGCCCUUGACUUCGGGAUAACUUCAGGAAACUGGGGCUAAUACCGGAUAGGAAUCCUUGCUGCAUGGUGGGGGUUGGAAAGCUUCGGCGGUUUUGGAUGGACUCGCGGCUUAUCAGCUUGUUGGUGGGGUAGUGGCUUACCAAGGCUUUGACGCGUAGCCGGCCUGAGAGGGCGACCGGCCACAUUGGGACUGAGAUACGGCCCAGACUCCUACGGGAGGCAGCAGUGGGGAAUAUUGCACAAUGGGCGGAAGCCUGAUGCAGCAACGCCGCGUGCGGGAUGACGGCCUUCGGGUUGUAAACCGCUUUCAGCAGGGGCGAAGCUUGUGGUGACGGUACCUGCAGAAGAAGCACCGGCUAACUACGUG
This 465-nucleotide ribosomal RNA is filed under the name uncultured bacterium. RNAcentral's name for it is "partial 16S ribosomal RNA". It matches the Rfam family "Bacterial small subunit ribosomal RNA", at positions 28 to 507 of the family's 1533-position model. The record is from RNAcentral.